This 440-nucleotide ribosomal RNA is filed under the name uncultured bacterium. RNAcentral describes it as "bacterial SSU rRNA". It matches the Rfam family "Bacterial small subunit ribosomal RNA", at positions 338 to 795 of the family's 1533-position model. The record is from RNAcentral.
CCUACGGGCUGCAGCAGUGGGGAAUCUUAGACAAUGGGGGCAACCCUGAUCUAGCCAUGCCGCGUGAGUGACGAAGGCCCUAGGGUCGUAAAGCUCUUUCGCCAGGGAUGAUAAUGACAGUACCUGGUAAAGAAACCCCGGCUAACUCCGUGCCAGCAGCCGCGGUAAUACGGAGGGGGUUAGCGUUGUUCGGAAUUACUGGGCGUAAAGCGCGCGUAGGCGGGCUAUUAAGUCAGGGGUGAAAUCCCGGGGCUCAACCCCGGAACUGCCCUUGAUACUGGUAGCCUUGAGUUCGAGAGAGGUGAGUGGAAUUCCGAGUGUAGAGGUGAAAUUCGUAGAUAUUCGGAGGAACACCAGUGGCGAAGGCGGCUCACUGGCUCGAUACUGACGCUGAGGUGCGAAAGCGUGGGGAGCAAACAGGAUUAGAUACCCUAGUAGUC